RNAcentral lists this ribosomal RNA (452 nucleotides) under uncultured bacterium. RNAcentral describes it as "bacterial SSU rRNA". It matches the Rfam family "Bacterial small subunit ribosomal RNA", at positions 8 to 507 of the family's 1533-position model. The record is from RNAcentral.
AGAGUUUGAUCCUGGCUCAGAACGAACGCUGGCGGCAUGCCUAACACAUGCAAGUCGAACGAGACCUUCGGGUCUAGUGGCGCACGGGUGCGUAACGCGUGGGAAUCUGCCCUUGGGUUCGGAAUAACAGUUAGAAAUGACUGCUAAUACCGAAUGAUGUCUUCGGACCAAAGAUUUAUCGCCCAAGGAUGAGCCCGCGUCGGAUUAGCUAGUUGGUGAGGUAAAGGCUCACCAAGGCGACGAUCCGUAGCUGGUCUGAGAGGAUGAUCAGCCACACUGGGACUGAGACACGGCCCAGACUCCUACGGGAGGCAGCAGUGGGGAAUAUUGGACAAUGGGCGAAAGCCUGAUCCAGCAAUGCCGCGUGAGUGAUGAAGGCCUUAGGGUUGUAAAGCUCUUUACCCGGGAUGAUAAUGACAGUACCGGGAGAAUAAGCCCCGGCUAACUCCGUG